AAAAACAGGCACAUUCCUCCCAAAAAAAUUAAGAUCUCGCCGGAAAAUUCACACAAAAAAUAUCAAUAGAACCAAAAUAGAGAGGGGAAAAAAUAUUAGAGCACUAUAAAUAAUCCAAAUCCAUAAAAUAAGUACGUUAUUUAGCGGAUCGUGUAAUAACAAAUAAGGGUUGGCGUCGCUUUAAUGACGUAUGCCGGAGCAACGCCGGAACCCAGAUUCUGGCCAGAUAUGCAAAUCAAUAGGUGAAAAACAAAAAAAAUAUGAACCAAUGAAAAUGAGAGGAGAUUGCUGUGACAGUGGUG
Molecule: long non-coding RNA, 302 nt
Filed under: Capsicum annuum
Lineage: Eukaryota; Viridiplantae; Streptophyta; Magnoliopsida; Solanales; Solanaceae
Description: long non-coding RNA (CANN_LNC001824)
Source: RNAcentral